UCUAGACCCGUAGUUAAGUCAACCCUAAUUUUGUUCCAGCCGCAUUCACCCUCUCUUCCAACCACACCAUCUCUUCCAGCCGCAUUCACCCUCUCUUAUCUGUGUCGAACAUCGCCAUCCUCCUCCGCUCCAAUCCCCACUGCUCUUCAUCCAGAUAUCCGCUCUUUCACCUCUGCAAAACCCUCUUCGAAAUUGUUACUAUGUUUUCUGUGUAUAGGGCUUUGUAUUGGUACGCAUCAGAUAUGGGAGCAGCACAAGCGAUGAAGAGAAUUCCACGGAUCAAGUUUGAACAGCGUCAUUUGAAGCCUUCUGGUUAAAUAAUGGAACCUACGGAUAUCACCUUUCUGAACCACCUUGAUGUUUCACACGACAACUACACACUCAAAGUUCGCAUUAUCAAACUAUGGAGGCAACCUUCGUUUAAGGUCCCUGGGGAAACAUAUGCAAUCGAGAUGAUGCUUAUGGAUGAGGAGGGCAAUAAGAUCCAAGCAACUGUAAUGAACAAGUACUUGGUUAAGUUUAAAAAGCUGCUGGAAGAGAAUGUUUGUCUACUGAUCAAGAAACCCUCCUUAGGUGACAAUACGUCAUCAUACAAGUGAUUCAAUAUCUGGUACCGGUGAGAAUGAAACGCCUUUAUCAGUUUCGGACAUAAGCACCGGAAGGAGUUUAUUGCAAAAUGAAAACACAAAAAAGACAAUCAUCUAUGGCGAAUUAAAGCGUAACUUGGUUGAGGUGUACGACCUUGACGAAUCCCCCGGUCGAUCAGCAACUAAACCCCGUCAAGAUCCUACUGAAGGUCUGAAAAGAGAUUUCGAGCCAACUCUCUUGGUUCCAAAGAUCGAAAAAUAAUUAUGUUUUCCAAUUCUGAAGUUUUAAAUUUGGUUGUUUUUUAAGUUAUCAUCGUAUUUGCGUUUUCAAAGUUUUCGGAUUUUAGUUGUUAAUGUUGUUGACUGUUUGGAUUCAAGUUUGUUUUUAAUGAAUGGUUAUUUUGUCCACCCCGUGAAAUUCACGGGUAUUAGCACUAGUAUAUUAAUAAACGGAUGGAAUGAACAGUAUAUUUCAGGGGGGGUAUUUAAGGGGUUCUUUCAUCGCUCCCCAUCUGGCGGCAGGAGAUAGACAGACAGUGCGCGACGAAGGGAGAGAGAGAGAGCCGAAGGCAGAGUGAGAUAGAGAGAGGCGCGGCGGUGAUGGACGAACCGGCUAUGGUCUCCGGCCGCCGGUAAUGUUGUCCAUCGUCGCUGAAUGUGAACUUGACGGCCGGGGGUUCUAGGGUUCCGGCGUCGGUACCGGUCACUCUAAUCGGUGGAUUCUGGAGACGAAAUGGGAGACUUGAAGGUGAUCUUGAACAACCACAACCUCAGAGACUUGAAUCGUGUUUCAGCGAUAAUUGUAAGCACUUUUGGUCUGCAUGUCUCCAUUUAUUCGGUAGAUCACACUUUCCUCUUUGCGGUGAGAUUACGCGAGGUGAUAUCGAACAGGCGGCGGAAGAUACCACCGGCGGUGGAACAAGCCACCGACAGAAGGAUUAUGUUUCACACUUUCACCUAGCAAGGAGACCGUGUUUAAUGCUAGCAGCGACGAUGAAAGUUUUCGGCUACAAAUGCUUAACCCUCUUAGGACGAGAUCCAAAGUGACGAAUGCUAAUCAGCAGCGUGUCGGGUUGGAAAGCUAUGGCGGUGGGGUUUCGGUCGGAGAAUAUAUGUAGCAAAGACGAAAAACGGGUUGGAUCCGGGUAUGUAAGUUUCACAAAAGGUGUGUGUAGGCUGUAAGACCGUACGAAGGGGGCUUGAAAAUAGGGCGUUAUGCGACACGUCGACGACACGUAAGCACACGUCAGGGACAGGGCGUGGUGCAAAAACGGGAGGUGUGGGACAGGGCGUGGACGGCGUUAUUCAACACGUGAGACACUUUUAAACUUCAAAAUUCUAUAAAAUCUAUUGAAUUUAAAUAAAAACAUUAAUAUUAAUUGCAUCCAAUCACACGCGACCAUAUUGUCUCCAACCCUCCGCGCCGGUGGAAUUCUUGCCGCCCCUUCAACAACGCCGUCUACAAUGCCGCACCCGGUGUGGUUUGUGCGGCGUGGAAAGGCAACAACGCCGCUCCACCAUGCCCACACCAUGUGGUCUAAGGAUGAGAAGUUGUAAGUUUCACAAAAGCUGUAGCCUGGAUGUGUGCUAUGUUCUCAAUGAAGCAUUGAAGCCUGAUACAAGGGUUGUUAUUCGCGUAUUUGGGCGGUGAAGCCACUUCUAUUUUCACAGUUACCCUGUGUCCUCCACAGACCUGCAUAACACAUCCAAUUCCCAACCGCACGGCCAUGCCUUUUUAGAUUACAAUCCAGCCGCCUCCUACAAAAGCAAUAGCAACUGGCUCAUCUCCACGCCACACAACUCCACAGCGACACGAUGGGGCAUCGCAGGUUAAUGGUAAUAAGUCUCCAAUGAUCGUAAGUUUACGGAUGUCACAGGAGCCGUAUGAGGUGGAAGCUCGGCGUAUUGUUUUGAAGCCGAGCUACACGAGGGUCUACGGAAUAAUCACAUGUAGGAAAAGGUAGUUUUUUAAUAUGAUUACAAAGAUGCAAUGAUUAUUCUACAAACCUGAAUCCAAUGAUGGGUCAAAACUGAUUCGGGUUAUGAGUUUAAUGUAAUGAUUCAUUUAGCGCGAUUGCGUUAUGAGUUUUAACGUAAAUCGUACAUGUUAUCACACCAAGAACUAUUCGGAUUAGCGCGGCGCAACGCGCGCAGUGUAUAAAACUAGUUAGAUUAAUAAAGAUGUAUGAAUUGGUUCUCUUUUC
Helianthus annuus (common sunflower) is the source of this 2791-nucleotide long non-coding RNA. RefSeq lists it as uncharacterized. NCBI's taxonomy places the organism in Eukaryota, Viridiplantae, Streptophyta, Magnoliopsida, Asterales, Asteraceae. The transcript has 6 exons. The record is from RefSeq and is a predicted model, not a curated record.